AGCAAGACAUCGUGUACGUGGGGAUUGCCGUCAAUACUGCUUUCAACAUGGUCAGUUUCACGGCUUUGGAGAGGUGUCUUGUUGACCAGCUCGAGGCUCUCUGUCUUAUUCGGUCCACCAAUGCUGUAAAGAGGACCUUUUUCCUUCUGCCGAAAUGCUCAGGUGAUUGAAGACUUCUCACUAUUGAUCUUCUGCCCUGAAGCCAGUUCAUAUUCCUUCAAGAUAUUAGUGAGUGCGGCGCAGCUGGCAGGGGAUGUUUGACAGAAGAACAUGGUAUCAUCUGCGAAGAGCAGAUGAUUUACUCUUGGGCUUCCUCUGGCUGCUCGUAUGCCUUGCAAGGAACUGGAGCACCUCGUGAGUGAUCAAAAUGUUAUCCGCUAUAGCCCUUCCUGGAAUGAAUGCUGAUUGAUUCUCUGAGAUAAUCAGGCCGAAGCACCCCUGUGGUGAAGAAAAGUUGGACUUCCUUGACGUAAUUCGUUACAGUUAAUCAAUCUGUUCUGCAAUUAUAAAAGUUCACUUUUCUGUUCCAGCGGUUCUUUAUACUUUGAGAGAUGAACAAAACAUAGAUAGUAUAAUCAUAUUCUUAAUUUAGUUUGAAGAAAAUUAAAUUAAAACGUGG
Long non-coding RNA from Brassica oleracea var. oleracea, 619 nucleotides. RefSeq lists it as uncharacterized. Lineage: Eukaryota; Viridiplantae; Streptophyta; Magnoliopsida; Brassicales; Brassicaceae. The record is from RefSeq and is a predicted model, not a curated record. The transcript is spliced from 4 exons.